RNAcentral lists this microRNA precursor (101 nucleotides) under Marmota monax (woodchuck). The record is from RNAcentral. Lineage: Eukaryota; Metazoa; Chordata; Mammalia; Rodentia; Sciuridae.
AGUGGGAUAACAGGGUCAAAUGGCGGUUCCAUUCCAAUUUCUGAGAAAUCUCCAUACUGCUUUCCAGAGUGGUUGCACCAAUUUGAAAUUCCACCAGCAAU